RNAcentral lists this small nuclear RNA (94 nucleotides) under Octodon degus (degu). The record is from RNAcentral. Lineage: Eukaryota; Metazoa; Chordata; Mammalia; Rodentia; Octodontidae.
UCGCUUCAACAGCACAUCUACUAAAAUUGGAGUGAUACAGAGAUUAGCAGGGCACAAGGACAACAAGCAAAUUCGUGAAACAUUCUAUAUUUUU